AGGCCUGUAGCUCAAUUGGUUAGAGCCAUCCUCUCAUAAAGGAUCGGUUGGGGGUUCGAGUCCCUCCUGGCCUA
RNAcentral lists this transfer RNA (74 nucleotides) under Richelia sp. RM2_1_2. RNAcentral's name for it is "tRNA-Ile". It matches the Rfam family "tRNA". From Rfam's summary of the family: Transfer RNA (tRNA) molecules are approximately 80 nucleotides in length. Their secondary structure includes four short double-helical elements and three loops (D, anti-codon, and T loops). Lineage: Bacteria; Bacillati; Cyanobacteriota; Cyanophyceae; Nostocales; Nostocaceae. The record is from RNAcentral.